Molecule: ribosomal RNA, 366 nt
Filed under: Triticum aestivum (bread wheat)
Lineage: Eukaryota; Viridiplantae; Streptophyta; Magnoliopsida; Poales; Poaceae
Description: partial small subunit ribosomal RNA
Source: RNAcentral
AUGCGGGCACGGGAACGAGGUAGGACUCGGCAGAGGAAGCGGGAGGCGGCCAUGGCGCGCGGAGGAGAAGCAGGAGGAAGGCCAUGGCAACGAGGAGGGGCGCGCGGGAUCGGGCGUGUGCGGAGACAGCGGCCUCGCGGAAGAGGGAGGCACAGGCAUGGGACAGCGCUCGUCGGCGGGCCGGCGUUGAGGAGGGAUCGGGUCGAGGCACGAGGAGCUCCUCUCCCUAGCGAUGUGCGUGGAGGCGACGCAGGAGGGAUCGAUGGGAGAGGGAGAGAGCGAGAGAUGGGGAUCGGGCUGCGGGAACUCCUGGCGGCGCGAGGAGGUGGACGAAGGGAAAAAGAGGACCGAGGGGGAUCAGGCUAG